UACGAAGGGGGCUAGCGUUGCUCGGAAUUACUGGGCGUAAAGCGCACGUAGGCGGCUUCUUAAGUCGGGGGUGAAAUCCCGGAGCUCAACUCCGGAACUGCCUUCGAUACUGGGAAGCUUGAGUUCGGGAGAGGUGAGUGGAACUGCGAGUGUAGAGGUGAAAUUCGUAGAUAUUCGCAAGAACACCAGUGGCGAAGGCGGCUCACUGGCCCGAUACUGACGCUGAGGUGCGAAAGCGUGGGGAGCAAAC
RNAcentral lists this ribosomal RNA (250 nucleotides) under uncultured bacterium. Its description in RNAcentral is "partial 16S ribosomal RNA". It matches the Rfam family "Bacterial small subunit ribosomal RNA", at positions 524 to 773 of the family's 1533-position model. The record is from RNAcentral.